This 433-nucleotide ribosomal RNA is filed under the name uncultured bacterium. RNAcentral's name for it is "partial 16S ribosomal RNA". It matches the Rfam family "Bacterial small subunit ribosomal RNA", at positions 29 to 507 of the family's 1533-position model. The record is from RNAcentral.
AGCGGACGCUGGCGGCAGGCCUAACACAUGCAAGUCGAACGAACUCUUCGGAGUUAGUGGCGGACGGGUGAGUAACACGUGGGAACGUGCCCUUAGGUUCGGAAUAACUCAGGGAAACUUGUGCCAAUACCGAAUGUGCCCUUCGGGGGAAAGAUUUAUUGCCCUUAGUGCGGCCCGCGUCUGAUUAGCUAGUUGGUGAGGUAAAGGCUCACCAAGGCGACGAUCAGUAGCUGGUUUGAGAGGAUGAUCAGCCACAUUGGGACUGAGACACGGCCCAAACUCCUACGGGAGGCAGCAGUGGGGAAUCUUGCGCAAUGGGCGGAAGCCUGACGCAGCCAUGCCGCGUGAAUGAUGAAGGUCUUAGGAAUGUAAAGUUCUUUCACCGGGGACGAUAAUGACGGUACCCGGAGAAGAAGCCCCGGCUAACUUCGUG